This 403-nucleotide ribosomal RNA is filed under the name uncultured bacterium. Its description in RNAcentral is "partial 16S ribosomal RNA". It matches the Rfam family "Bacterial small subunit ribosomal RNA", at positions 29 to 526 of the family's 1533-position model. The record is from RNAcentral.
AUUGAACGCUGGCGGCAGGCCUAACACAUGCAAGUCGAGCGAGCGGCGGACGGGUGAGUAAUGUAUGGGGACUGCCCGAUAGAGGGGGAUAACUACUGGAAACGGUAGCUAAUACCGCAUACUAUCGGAUAUCCCAUAUGGGAUUAGCUAGUAGUGGAGGUAAUGGCUCACCUAGGCGACGAUCCCUAGCUGGUCUGAGAGGCUGAUCAGCCACAGUGGGAAUGAGAGAAGGCCGAGACGCCGACGGAGGGAGCAGUGGGGAAUAUUGAACAAUAGGCGGAAGCCUGAUGCAGCCAUGACGCGUGUAUGAGGAAGGCCCUAGGGUUGGAAAGUACUUUCAGUCGGGAGGGGUUACCGACAGAAGAAGCACCGGCGAACUACGUGCCAGCCGGCGCGGUAAUAC